This 5298-nucleotide long non-coding RNA is filed under the name Medicago truncatula (barrel medic). Its description in RNAcentral is "long non-coding RNA (MTRU_LNC005524)". The record is from RNAcentral. Lineage: Eukaryota; Viridiplantae; Streptophyta; Magnoliopsida; Fabales; Fabaceae.
UAUACUUGAUAUGUUACACAACCCACAAGUAAUAAAAAUUCAUAGUGCUUGCUUCUUACACUAUCUUUAAUAUAUUAGUGGAUUGUCCGUAUAGGAUUCAUGUAUAGUGACUCUAAUUAAAAAAAGAAUUAAUAGAACAUAACUAGAACAAAUGUAAAAUUCCAAAAGCCAGGGACAACUAUUCAACAUACAAUUCAGGUUUAACAGCUUUAAGUUGUUUACUAUAAAAUUAAUAAUAUUCUAAGACCUUCAUAUUAGGUAUAGAAAAUCCCAGUUGUUUUUGUUUGUUCUGUAUGUUCGCUUUGGAGUUGCAUUAUUCAGACCCACAUACCUGACCUGACCCUCUUUUUCUCAAAACAACUAAAUGAUUGUAUACAAUUACAAUAAAUUAAAGCAUAAGAUAUAUUAUAAUGAUGAUCAUAAUUAAGUAGAGUAUUCUUUCUUGUUCUAGUUGCUAGCAAGUAACAACCACAACAAUACAAUAAAGUAUUCUUUAAAAAAAAAAAACAAUACAAUAAAGUAUAUAAAUGUACUUGCAAAAAAAGUACGAUAAGGAUUCUAGGGUUAAGAAUCGUAGACUAGGGUUCUAAUCUAGGGUUUUAGACUGAAUAAUAAUGGAUCCUUUUAGAAUGACCCCAAGAGGGUUAUUUAUAGCCUGCUAAUGGGCUUUUUCCUGCGUGACUUAAGCUCUAAGAAAGCAGGGGUUUUAGUCUUUUUAGCUCAUUUAGGCGGUUUAGGGCGACUUCUAGAGGUUUCUAGAAGCCGAGGUAGACGGCGCCCUGAGGAGGACGCGCCUAGGCCUCCAAAGUCCCUUCUAUAGGGCGCCUAAACCCUUCUGGAGGGCUUUAAGCCCUUAGGAAUAUUAUGACGGUCCACAGCCCUCCAAGCACGAGGCUUGGAACAAGGCGUGGUGAUUAAUAAUAUGGAUUUGGCCCUUCUUGAGGGCUUUUAACCCUAAGGAAUAUUAUGACGGUCCACAGCCCCCCAAGCACGAGGCUUGGUACAAGGCGUGGUGCUUUUGAUUCUUUAUGCGGUCGGGACGCUUUAAAAUGUUUGGGCGGGAUGGUUCUGUUUAUGAGAAGACUAUCGUUUGUUCCUUGAUUGGGCGUCCUCUUUGGGCGUCCUUAACUUAUAAGGGUUGAUGAAGUUUAAUCUUCAUGGGCAAUUUGUUCAUACCAUAAACGUUUGUUGGCUUCUUUUUAUGAAUUAUCUUCUUUUCUCCCUUUAUCAAAAUUUGGCUUAAUCUCCUUAAUAAGGAUUCGUUCCUUUUAAAUUUCUGAGCGAAGUUAAGCCUUUAUAGAUAAUUUGCUCAUACAAUAAUCGUUUUGCUAUGAUAAUAAGACUUCGCUUUCAUGAAUUCGCUGAAUUAGAGCCCUUAUAAGGUUUUAAACCUUUCAUAGGUGUUUUGUUGAUGUUAAACUAUCAGUCACCUUUUAAAAAGGUCGGACUUUGUUGGUCGAAUAUUAGUAGCCUUUAAGAAGGUCGUACUAAUUAGUCGCCUUUAAGAAGGUCGUACUAAUUUUUAAAGUCUCAGCAGCCUUUAAGAAGGUCAUACUGGGCGGGAUUUUUAAAGUCUCAGCAGCCUUUAAGAAGGUCAUACUGGUCGGGAUUUUUAGUCGCCUUUAAGAAGGUCAUACUAAUUUUUAAAGUCUCAGCAGCCUUUAAGAAGGUCAUACUGGCCGGGAUUUUUAGUCGCCUUUAAGAAGGUCGUACUAAUUUUUAAAGUCUCAGCAGCCUUUAAGAAGGUCAUACUGGCCGGGAUUUUUAAAGUCUCAGCAGCCUUUAAGAAGGUCAUACUGGCCGGGAUUUUUAGUCGCCUUUAAGAAGGUCGUACUAAUUUUUAAAGUCUCAGCAGCCUUUAAGAAGGUCAUACUGGCCGGGAUUUUUAGUCGCCUUUAAGAAGGUCGUACUAAUUUUUAAAGUCUCAGCAGCCUUUAAGAAGGUCAUACUGGCCGGGAUUUUUAAAGUCUCAGCAGCCUUUAAGAAGGUCAUACUGGCCGGGAUUUUUAAACGCCUUUAAGAAGGUCGUACUUAUCGAUUCUUCUUCUUAUAAAAAAAAAAAAAAAAAAAAAAAAAAAAAAAAAAACCCUGCAAAACAAAUCUCAAAGGUCGAAAAGAUUAUUCUAGAAUAUAACUCCGCGUUUCAUCUUUAUAUUUUCCUUGGCGGGACUAUUGCUUCCAUGCUCGUUUAAUCAUGGCGUGUUGAUUGGCGAGUUCUAUCCUUUCAUUCAUCUAGCUCCUGGGCGGACUUAUUAGUAUCCCAACCUUGAUUUAUCUGAAAUAUAACAAUACCUCCGAACUUCCAAAGUAAAUAAAUAAAAGAAAUUGAAAGUUUUAAUCAUAUUUAAUUGUCUAUUUUUUAUACAAAACUGAUUAUCCACAUAUUAUAUUUAUAUGAUACCACUCGAAUUGCAAAACAGGAAGUUUGAUUAAUAAUAUGGAUAGCUAGCUAUGAUACUAGCAUAUGCUCCUAUGGGAAGAAAUAACACAUCAGGAUAUUCUUGUUGGUAGCUAAAUAAAUUCUUAACUAAUAAAGGGAAUUACUAUAUGCUUGUCGAGAAGUCGAGUUUCAGUAGGUUAAUUCUACCUUAUAUACUUGACUAUUAGUUAGUAGGAUGGUAAAACAAACAUAUUUCCUAACUAACAAGAUACUAAUAAAAGUAGAGAUCAAGCUUUAUCAAUACUAGAACUUGGUACAUUAGCAUGUGUUGAAUGAAUCUGACAUGGACUUUCUAGCAAUUUGGAUUUACUGAUCUUGAUCUGCCUUCCUAUAAUUUCUCUUAGUACAUCAUUUAAAGAUAAUCAUAGUAUACUCACAAAAAAGGACAAUAUUAUACUUUCAAUUACACCAUACUAUGUUUCUAGGCAAACUCAACACAAUCUUAAAAGUUCAUGACUUUUGUGCAGUUUUAAAAUAUGUACCUGAUUCCUUAUGGAUGAUUUCAAAGGUAUGAAAGUUUAAAACUUACGGUGAAGUCGAUCAUACCAUGCUCUUUUAGUUUCUGUAGCAGUCAAAAUGAGUUGAUACGUCAACGCCUUAAAAUCAGUAUAUCGAUGCUAUUAGUCGCCCUAGCUUGUCAUCUUGAUUCCUCCUCCAAACUUUUUCGCCCUUUAACUUGUUUAUCAAUAGCAUCCUAUACCCAUGCUUUCUUUAUUCUAACCUUUCUUCGUGGUACAACCUAUAUUGGUCUAUUUUACAUAGCUAUUUCCUAACGAACCAAGAGGGGUAUCUGUUCGCCUAAUUGAAAACAUAUCUCGAUCGCAGCUUCCACAACAAAGGAAUUAAUAAACAAUAAACAAAUUAAUUCACCAAUUAAAUAUAUAUUAUGAUCCUUAUGCAUAUAAUCUGGUAUAACGCUGCUUUAUGGUUUGUUGAUGUCCUUUCAAGACGGCGUUGGUCGGGUUCAUGGCGGUGUGAUUCUUAGCGGCUUCGAUGAUGAGACGGAUGCCCGGAGGUCAGUGACGACGGCAUCAAACAAGGCUGGAUUGAAGUGUGGCCCGGGUCAGUUUUACCGGUUCCACGCUCACUGCAUUUUUGUCUUUUCCAGGGGCGUUUUGUGCAAUAUAUUGAAACCGGCCAAAUCAAAUACACAUCACAAAUAGUUAAAUAAAUAAAUGAGAAUCUCCAGUAUCAUGUUGAUAUUUCAAGUUCCAUAAAUUAUGAUGAUUUCUAGAAGAAAACUAACAACGUGUGUAAAUAGUAAAUGAAUAUUGAGAAGCUUACUAUAGGCUCACGAUAGGCAAGCUUUAUUAUAACCAAGAAACAUCAACAAUAUUAAAAACUAUACAUUCAGGAUUGCGCAUAAUAUGAUGAAUAAAUUACUAACAAGGUGAAUAUAACGUUAUAAAUCUUUCCAAUACUAUUAGUUAAAUUAAUGAAUAUAAAGUAGAUUAAAAACAUGUGGUGGAAAUUUCAUUAAUGAAUAGCAGAAAGGUUUAAACAUAUGGUAGCGCAAUGGAACAGAAGAUAGUAACACAAAUAGCAAAAAUUAAAGAUCUCAUGAGUGGUUUUAAUUUGGAAACUAAAUCAAAUGCACAUAUAGGUCAAUAUUUGAUAAUGGAACUUACAACGGGACAAAACAAUUCUGCCAUCAAAUACGACUUUAAAAAAUAUGUCCAUGAGAAAGAUAAAUCAAUUUUUCAAGGGAUAAAGCCAAAAUAUUAACUCAAAUCAAUAUAGUCUGCUCGAUGACGACGCCACGUUGCAAAACUUAGCUUUAUAUUGAAAAAGAAAAAAGAAACUUAGACAUAGCAUGUGUAAUAUGCAGAAGCAUAACUAAACUUAAAUAGAUACCUGAUAUCGUAGCCAUUUUUUGUAAAUAAAAACAACCAUAUACUUGAUAUCGCGAGUAAUAAAAAGAUAUAACCUGGGACCUGCUUUGAUCGAAGCUUUUGUUUGAGCUUUUGUUGCGGUUUCCGCAGAACAAGCAACAAAACAAAUAGGACCAAACGAUUGUACAAGAGUCUUACGAUGUGAAACUUGGCGAGAUGGAUUGAUGACCCACAGGCUGAUGAGCUCUUUCAUUGCCUCUACGACGUCGUCAUCGAAUCGGUCAGACAUCACGGUGAUGAAAGGGCAAGGGUGUUUCUAAAUCACGGUUAGGGUUGCGAUUUAGAGGUUGUGAUUUUUCUUUCUAAAUUGCGAUUAGGUUUGCGAUUUAGAGGUGAGGGGUGGCCUAGGUUAGUUUUACCGAGUUCCCACAGACGGCGCCAACUGUACUUGCAAAAAAAAGUACGGUAAGGAUUCUAGGGUUAAGAAUCGUAGACUAGGGUUCUAAUCUAGAGUUUUAGACUGAAUAAUAAUGGAUCCUUUUAGAAUGACCCCAAGAGGGUUAUUUAUAGCCUGCUAAUGGGCAUUUUCCUGCGUGACUUAAGCUCUAAGAAAGCAGGGUUUUUAGUCUUUUUAGCUCAUUUAGGCGGUUUAGGGCGACUUCUAGAGGUUUCUAGAAGCCGAGGCAGACGGCGCCCUGAGGAGGACGCGCCUAGGCCUCCAAAGUCCCUUCUAUAGGGCGCCUAAACCCUUCUGGAGGGCUUUAAGCCCUUAGGAAUAUUAUGACGGUCCACAGCCCUCCAAGCACGAGGCUUGGAACAAGGCGUGGUGAUUAAUAAUGUGGAUUUGGCCCUUCUGGAGGGCUUUUAACCCUAAGGAAUAUUAUGACGGUCCAAUAAAGUACAAAAUAAAUUUUUAACAUAUUUUGGAUUGAGUCUAGCGAAGAGGUUAAACUUCACAAUGUGACGAAUCAAUGUUCAAAUUCUGUUUAAAACAUGUAUUAUAUUUAAUGUCUAACACACUUUGAU